This is a non-coding RNA of Maylandia zebra (zebra mbuna), 248 nucleotides long. The record is from RefSeq and is a predicted model, not a curated record. Lineage: Eukaryota; Metazoa; Chordata; Actinopteri; Cichliformes; Cichlidae.
AUUUCGUGGUGGAUUGUAUGUUCUCCAUCUCAGUGUGACUGUGAGAGACGAUGGAGAUUCUUCUGGCAUGAAGUUCAUGGCUACAGUUCCCAUCAUUUCUGCUGCUGCUUCACUCAUCAGUGUGGCUGUGAUAACCUGUGGUUACAGCCUGAGGAGAAAUCCUCGCAGAGAAAACAGAUCAGGUCUAACUAACUUAACAGGAUCUGAAACUCGCCAGAUGUUUGACAAAGAGGACCGCUACAUGAGCC